AUGGCGCUCCUCAAGAACAACACGAGGGUUUUGUGUUUGGCAGCUCUUCUGUUGAUGAUAUCCACCAGCUUCUUGACAUGUGACGCAUCCUACGGGAUCACAGGUAUAUUCUUUUUGCUAUAUUCAUAUUCAUGUAUGGUUUAUACAAUCGUUUAGAACAUUAAUGGAUAAUCAAACAAAUACUACCUCUGUUCCUAAAUAUAAGUCCUUUUAGAGAUUUCGCUACGGAGUAAAACGAGUGAAUCUAAACUCUAAAAUAUGUCUAUGUACAUUCGUAUGUAGUCUGUAAUGGAAUCUCUAAAAGGACUUAUAUUUAAAAGCGGAGGGAGUACAAGUGAUUAUGUUAUGUCUUGCAUAUAUACUUACAACUUUAGACAUGGCUUAUUUAUGCUUGGGCGUGCAGAUGGAGGAGGUCGCAAGUUUUGUGUGGAUUGGGAUGGAGACUGCAAGGACCCGGUGAAUGGAAAACCUAGUCAGUGUCAGAUUUACUGCAGAGAUGCCGGUUAUGUCUUAGCGAAAGGCAAAUGUGAGCCUAUUAAUGGAGCCCCCAACGACAUGUGCUGCUGCUACAAGUGAAUGGCAUGGAAAU
RNAcentral lists this long non-coding RNA (589 nucleotides) under Triticum aestivum (bread wheat). RNAcentral's name for it is "long non-coding RNA (TAES_LNC019667)". The record is from RNAcentral. Lineage: Eukaryota; Viridiplantae; Streptophyta; Magnoliopsida; Poales; Poaceae.